AACGAACGCUGGCGGCAUGCCUAACACACGCAAGUCGAACGAAGCCUUCGGGCUUAGUGGCGCACGGGUGCGUAACGCGUGGGAAUCUGCCCUUUGGUUCGGAAUAACAGUUGGAAACGACUGCUAAUACCGGAUGAUGACGAAAGUCCAAAGAUUUAUCGCCAGAGGAUAAGCCCGCGUAGGAUUAGCUAGUUGGUGUGGUAAAGGCGCACCAAGGCGACGAUCCUUAGCGGGUCUGAGAGGAUGAUCGGCCACACUGGGACUGAGACACGGCCCAGACUCCUACGGGAGGCAGCAGUGGGGAAUAUUGGACAAGGGGCGAAAGCCUGAUCCAGCAAUGCCGCGUGAGUGAUGAAGGCCCUAGGGUUGUAAAGCUCUUUUACCCGGGAUGAUAAUGACAGUACCGGGAGAAUAGGCCCCGGCUAACUCCGUGCCAGCAGCCGCCGUAA
Molecule: ribosomal RNA, 449 nt
Filed under: uncultured bacterium
Lineage: Bacteria
Description: partial 16S ribosomal RNA
Rfam family: Bacterial small subunit ribosomal RNA
Source: RNAcentral